Molecule: ribosomal RNA, 790 nt
Filed under: uncultured bacterium
Lineage: Bacteria
Description: bacterial SSU rRNA
Rfam family: Bacterial small subunit ribosomal RNA
Source: RNAcentral
GUUUGAUCCUGGAAAGAUUGAACGCUGGCGGCGUGCUUAACACAUGCAAGUCGUACGAGAAAGUUUCACCUUGCUGAAGCGAGUAAAGUGGCGCACGGGUGAGUAACGCGUGGGUAAUCUGCCCCUGGGUUCGGGAUAACCCGCCGAAAGGCGAGCUAAUACCGGAUAACAUCUUUGACACCUCGGUGUUAAAGAUCAAAGGUACCCUCUACAUGUAAGCUUCUGCCGAGGGAUGAACCCGCGUACCAUUACUUUGGUGGUGACGUAACGGCUCACCAAGACUUUGAUGGUUAACUGGGCGCAGAGGAAGAUCAGCCACACUGGAACUGAGACACGGUCCAGACUCCUACGGCAGGCAGCAGGGAAGAAUUUUGCGCAAUGGGGGAAACCCUGACGCACCAACGCCGCGUGAGUCAUGAAGGCCCUUGGGUCGUAAAGCUCUGUCAAGUGGAAAGAAAAUAUGUACUAUAAAUAGUAGUGCGUAUUGACGGUACCGCUAAAGGAAGCACCGGCUAACUCCGUGCCAGCAGCCGCGGUAAUACGGGGGGUGCAAGCGUUAAUCGGAUUUAUUGGGCGUAAAGGGCGCGCAGGCGGCCUGGUAAGUCAGAUGUGAAAGCCCGGGGCUCAACCCCGGAAGUACAUUUGAAACUAUCAGGCUUGAGUAUGGGAGAGGGAAGUGGAAUUCCUGGUGUAGCGGUGAAAUGCGUAGAUAUCAGGAGGAACACCGGUGGCGAAGGCGACUUCCUGGACCAAUACUGACGCUGAGGCGCGAAGGCGUGGGUAGCAAACA